This 264-nucleotide ribosomal RNA is filed under the name uncultured bacterium. RNAcentral's name for it is "partial 16S ribosomal RNA". It matches the Rfam family "Bacterial small subunit ribosomal RNA", at positions 78 to 339 of the family's 1533-position model. The record is from RNAcentral.
UUCGGGGAAUUAUUAAACUGGCGCACGGGUGAGUAAUAUAUAAGCAAUCUACCUUUAGGUUCGGAAUAACGUCGAGAAAUCGGCGCUAAUACCGUAUAAUGCAGCGGCAUCGCAUGAUGAUGUUGUUAAAGUUUUAUUAACGCCUAGAGAUGAGCUUGUAUCUGAUUAGCUAGUUGGUGAGGUAAUGGCCCACCAAGGCUACGAUCAGUAGCUGGUCUGAGAGGAUGAUCAGCCACAUUGGAACUGAGACACGGUCCAGACUCC